AGUUGUUGCGGUUAAAAGCUCGUAGUUGGAGUUCUGCCAGGUGACGCUCGUCCGCCCAAGUGGUGUGUACAGGGCGUGCAUCUGGCCCCUUCAAGGGGAACGUGUUGCACUUUAUUGUGUGGCGCGAGAUCCUUGACUUUUACUUUGAGGAAAUAAGAGUGUUCCAAGCAGGCUCUCGUCGUGCAUAGCUCAGCAUGGAAUAAUAGCAUUGGACUUCGUUUCUACGCUGUUGGUUGCAAGAAGCGAGGUAAUGAUGAAGAGGGAUAGUUGGGGGCAUUCGUAUUUAACUGUCAGAGGUGAAAUUCUUGUUUUUGUUAAAGACGGACUACUGCGAAAGCAUCUGCCAUGGAUGUUUUCAUUGAUCAAGAACGAAAGUUAGGGGAUCGAAGACGAUCAGAUACCGUCCUAGUCUUAACUAUAAACCAUACCGGCUAGAGAUCGGAGGUCGUUCAAUUUGUGACACCUUCAGCAUCUUGAGAGAAAU
This 484-nucleotide ribosomal RNA is filed under the name uncultured Syndiniales. RNAcentral's name for it is "SSU rRNA". It matches the Rfam family "Eukaryotic small subunit ribosomal RNA", at positions 608 to 1098 of the family's 1831-position model. The record is from RNAcentral. Lineage: Eukaryota; Dinophyceae; Syndiniales.